RNAcentral lists this ribosomal RNA (281 nucleotides) under uncultured bacterium. Its description in RNAcentral is "partial 16S ribosomal RNA". It matches the Rfam family "Bacterial small subunit ribosomal RNA", at positions 505 to 784 of the family's 1533-position model. The record is from RNAcentral.
GUGCCAGCCGCCGCGGUAAUACAUAUGGGUCACGCGUUGUCCGGAUUUAUUGGGCGUAAAGAGCUCGUAGGCGGUUCAACAAGUCGGUCGUAAAAGUUUAGGGCUCAACCCUAAAAUGUCGAUCGAUACUGUUGUGACUAGGAUACGGUAGAGGUGAAUGGAAUUCCGGGUGUAGCGGUGAAAUGCGUAGAUAUUCGGGGGAACACCAAUUGCGAAGGCAGUUCACUGGACCGUGAUCGACGCUGAGGAGCGAAAGCUAGGGGAGCAAACAGGAGUAGAUA